Piliocolobus tephrosceles (Ugandan red Colobus) is the source of this 2336-nucleotide long non-coding RNA. The record is from Ensembl. NCBI's taxonomy places the organism in Eukaryota, Metazoa, Chordata, Mammalia, Primates, Cercopithecidae.
CAGAUGACGAAGAUUUUAUAUCUAUAUAUAUCGAAGCAGUUAAACAAAAAUUUUACCCAGAAUUAUGGGUUUUUCCGAAUACUAGGUUUCAAAUAGUUGUUUAUAAUUUUAAAAACGAAAAAAAUUCUAUUUUCUCUUGGGCACAUUGGUCAUUUAGUAAUGCUUUUGCAUCUAGAGGUUGGCAAAGAAUGUUAAGUCAUUCUAAAAUAAAUAAAAGUACUGGUUUUUUAGAUGAGUCUGGUGGGUUAUUGAUUAAAGGAAAAGUCAAAAUAGCAUUUAGGAGUUUAUUAUCAAAGUGUUAUCGUUAUGUUCCUAAAUAUAUAUGGAGUUAUUCUUCAGAAAAAAUAUUAGAUAGUUAUAAACAGGGAAAUUUAAUAAUGCAAUUUUUAUUUAAGUCUUGCCACUUCAAACGUUUUUCUUGUUUGAAAAAUAAGUGUUGGCAUGUAUGCACUACUGACGAUGCUGAUCAAACGGAUGAGGGUAAGCGAACUGAUACUACUGACAAUAAUAAAACACACACUAAUAACAGGACUUAUAUUUACAAUAGGAAUAUUAAUACAACAACAAAAAUUACACAAGAACCAUUUUAUAUUAGUGAUGAAACGAAAGGGUGUAUAUAUAACAGAUAUGCAUUAGAUAUAUAUAAUUUUAAUUUGUUUUGGUCUCCAGAAUUUGUUAAAAAUUAUUUGAAUUUUAUUGAAGAUGAUAACACUGGAAAAACUAGUAAAGUAUGUACAAACUCAUUUUUACAACAUGUUAAUAGUAUAAUAAAAAAAAGAAAUAUUUUAAAUAAUGUAUACAUAAACGAAAAAACAAAUACAAAAGCUAUGAUUUUGAAUAGUGUGAAUAAUCCAAAUGAAGAAACAGUAUUAAUUCAAUGUGGUGACAAAAAAAUGCUCGAUCAAAAUACAUAUAGUCGGAUAUAUGUAUAUGAUGAAUUGAUAAAGAAAAGGAAGCUGAAUGAGAAGCAGAAUGAAUUAAAGAAUGUUGCAUUUGGAAAGUUGAGUGAAUAUAAGGAUGAUUUAAAUAGCUUGGAUAGUAAUGAAAAAGAUAUUAAUAUUGGCAGAAAAAGUACCAACAACCAACCGAACGAAUUGGAUGAUGACGUACUUGUGGGAGAAGACAGGCUACCCAUUUUGUCAUUGACUAAUUAUAUAAUUCCAAUUGUAGACUCAUUUAACGAUUGUGAUAAUUUAUCUAUUUUAGUCAUGUGUCUUUAUAACUUGGAGCUAUUUAGAAUCGCAGUUUUGAGAUAUAAUGCAAAAAUGUACAACUACAUGUUAUAUAAACAUAUAAAAAAAAAGAGAGAAGAAAAGAUUUACAAACUAAAUUAUGUUAUGAGUAUUUAUGGAAUAAAACCACAUCACACAAAAAUAGACAUUGUAAAAAUCAUAAAAGAAUAUAAUCAAAAAAAAAAAAUAGAAUAUAAACAGUAUGAACAGUUAGAAAAAGUUAUUUUGGGAAAAAUACAGAUGGUUAAAUAUAGUAUUAUUUUUAUAGGGCAUAUUCUAGAAAAUAAAAUUAAAAAUGUAAUUAAUGUAUUUCAUAAGAAAAAUAACAACAAUAUGGUUCAAAUAAUGGAUUGCGCUAGUGAAACAAUUAUACAUACUAUUGAAUUUGUAAACGUGCCAAGUUCUGACAUAGAUAAAAAUUUAAAUAUAAAUAUGGAUAACAUGAACGAAAAAAUAAAAAAUGUUAAUUAUUUAAUAAGCGCAAUUAACGAAAUGAUAAAUGACGUUGUAAAAAAAGCAUACAAUUUAAAUUACAUUUUUAAUGCUAGUAAAAUAAAAACAAAUAUACAAACUUUGAAUCAAAGCAUUGUUCAUAUUAAUGAAGAUAUUAAAAAAAUAAGUAAGCAAAUUUGUGUAGAUAGUUCGUUGAAAAGUGUUAUUGAUAAUUUUCUGAGUAGUUUUGAUUGUUUCGUGGCGGUAAGUAGAGAUAGUAACAAUCAGGCAGAGGGUAACAAUCAGGCAGAGGGUAACAAUCAGGCAGAGGGUAACAGCCAGACAGAGGGUAACAGCCAGACAGAGGGUAACAAUCAAGCAGAGGGUAACAGCCAGACAGAGAGUAACAGUCAGACUGAAAAUGUUUCCAAAAGCUACUGUGUACAGGACUAUUUAAACUUUUUAAAGGACAGCACACUUGACAAUCCUUACGAAUUAAAAAACGUUUCUUUCAAAUUAAUGAGCGACCUGAAUUCAUUUAAUAUGUUUACGCAUUUUAGGAAACAUAGUGAUAGUGUUAUAACUGCUUUACAAAGAAUCUUCAUAUGUAUGCAAAUGUAUUCGCUGGUCGUGUGUGCAAAACAAGGAAAAGAGUUUUUUAAAAAAAAUGAC